Molecule: ribosomal RNA, 488 nt
Filed under: uncultured bacterium
Lineage: Bacteria
Description: bacterial SSU rRNA
Rfam family: Bacterial small subunit ribosomal RNA
Source: RNAcentral
GAUGAACGCUAGCGGCAGGCUUAACACAUGCAAGUCGAGGGGUAGGUUACUUCGGUAAUUGAGACCGGCGCACGGGUGCGUAACGCGUAUACAAUCUACCUUUUACAGAGGGAUAGCCCAGAGAAAUUUGGAUUAAUACCUCAUAGUAUUUUUGAAUCGCAUGAUUUGAUUAUUAAAGUUCCAACGGUAAAAGAUGAGUAUGCGUCCCAUUAGCUAGAUGGUAAGGUAACGGCUUACCAUGGCUACGAUGGGUAGGGGUCCUGAGAGGGAGAUCCCCCCACACUGGUACUGAGACACGGACCAGACUCCUACGGGAGGCAGCAGUGAGGAAUAUUGGACAAUGGGCGCAAGCCUGAUCCAGCCAUGCCGCGUGCAGGAAGAAGGUCCUAUGGAUUGUAAACUGCUUUAUACAAGAAGAAACACUCCCUGUGAGGAACUUGACGGUACUGUAUGAAUAAGGACCGGCUAACUCCGUAGCCAGCAGCCGC